Molecule: RNA transcript, 944 nt
Organism: Xenia sp. Carnegie-2017
Lineage: Eukaryota; Metazoa; Cnidaria; Anthozoa; Malacalcyonacea; Xeniidae
Gene name: UDP-GalNAc:beta-1,3-N-acetylgalactosaminyltransferase 2-like
Exons: 6
Source: RefSeq, a predicted model, not a curated record
UUAAGAUUUUGUAUUGCUCAAUUUAAGUUCAAUAAGUAACAUAGAUCACAAAGUUUGCUAAUUUAUAUUGAUGCUUUAAGACUCCUUACAUGAUGUUUACGCAACACACCCGAGGUCAAAGUUCGUAUAUAUUAAAAUGCAACAAUGUGUAUAGUUCGUUAUUGAGGAUAAUGUAUAGAUUAUUUUACAUAGGGAAAGAUAUUUAUACGCUAUAGUUAAUUGUAACUGUUUAAUUUCAACUUAUGUUUACAUUAAAUGACAUCCUUAAGCCAACUUUACUAAUAUUGAUCGCUAUUUUCGUGUUAUACAGCUAUAAUCAUCUUGUUGUUAAAGAUUUGAAGCUUUGCUGCGAUAAUACAGCAGAGAAUUAUUCUCAUUAUGAUUUGGUCGUUGGAAUACUUUCAUCGCGCGGCAACUUUGAUUUGAGGCAAAGUUUACGUGAAUCAUGGGUUGGCUAUGCAAGACGACAUUCAUCUCUAAAUAAAAGAUUCUCCGGGGAAGAGAGUCGUGACAAAAGAGGAAGAAGAAACUCGAAUGUCGGAGUGGCAGAGAUUGAAAGACGAUGAGAAUGAACGUUUACUUAAAGAAAGCAGAACUAUUUCUGAUAUUCUUUUUGUUUCAAAUGUCGAUGUUUACAGAAAUCUUCCAUCCCAGUUGCUUCAGUUUUUCUCGUGGCUCUCGGCGACUUUAAGUUUUUCCUUUGUAAUGAAAACUGACGAUGAUUGUUUUGUUAACCUGGAGACCAUCUUACAGCAAUCCAGUAUCAGACUCUCUUAAAUUAUUUGCUGAAAAUGAAAUGAUGCUUACCGUAUCAUGGCAAUGAUAGCGAGACGAAACUUGGCGUAAGUUAUUUCCUUUGGGAAAUUCAAACUACCCGAAGACACUUGCCUUUGUACAUAUGCAACAUAAUAUUUGUACAUAGGUAAACUGAACAAGAAUAAAAA